AGAUUGAACGCUGGCGGAAUGCUUUACACAUGCAAGUCGAGCGGCAGCGCGGGGGCAACCCUGGCGGCGAGCGGCGAACGGGUGAGUAAUACAUCGGAACAUGUCCAGUUGUGGGGGGAUAGCCCGGCGAAAGCCGGAUUAAUACCGCAUGAGCUCGAGAGAGGAAAGCGGGGGACCGAAAGGCCUCGCGCGACUGGGUUGGCCGAUGUCCGAUUAGCUAGUUGGUGGGUAAAGCCUACCAAGGCGAUGAUCGGUAGCUGGUCUGAGAGGAUGAUCAGCCACACUGGGACUGAGACACGGCCCAGACUCCUACGGGAGGCAGCAGUGGGGAAUUUUGGACAAUGGGGGCAACCCUGAUCCAGCCAUUCCGCGUGAGUGAAGAAGGCCUUCGGGUUGUAAAGCUCUUUGUCCGGAGCGAAACGGUUAGCGUGAAUAUCGCUGACUACUGACGGUACCGAAGAAUAAGCACCGGCUAACUACGUGCCAGCAGCCGCGGUAAUCUA
This 503-nucleotide ribosomal RNA is filed under the name uncultured soil bacterium. Its description in RNAcentral is "bacterial SSU rRNA". It matches the Rfam family "Bacterial small subunit ribosomal RNA", at positions 26 to 527 of the family's 1533-position model. The record is from RNAcentral.